GAUAAACGCUGGCGGCGUGCCUAAUGCAUGCAAGUCGAACGGGCGCUUUUCGGAGCGUGACCGUGGCGGACGGGUGAGGAGCACGUAGCUAACCUGCCCUGGUGUGGGGGAUAUCCUUCG
RNAcentral lists this ribosomal RNA (120 nucleotides) under uncultured bacterium. Its description in RNAcentral is "partial 16S ribosomal RNA". It matches the Rfam family "Bacterial small subunit ribosomal RNA", at positions 28 to 152 of the family's 1533-position model. The record is from RNAcentral.